RNAcentral lists this ribosomal RNA (248 nucleotides) under Aeromonas dhakensis. RNAcentral's name for it is "partial 16S ribosomal RNA". It matches the Rfam family "Bacterial small subunit ribosomal RNA", at positions 346 to 586 of the family's 1533-position model. Lineage: Bacteria; Pseudomonadati; Pseudomonadota; Gammaproteobacteria; Aeromonadales; Aeromonadaceae. The record is from RNAcentral.
AGGCAGCAGUGGGGAAUAUUGCACAAUGGGGGAAACCCUGAUGCAGCCAUGCCGCGUGUGUGAAGAAGGCCUUCGGGUUGUAAAGCACUUUCAGCGAGGAGGAAAGGUCAGUAGCUAAUACCUGCUGACUGUGACGUUACUCGCAGAAGAAGCACCGGCUAACUCCGUGCCAGCAGCCGCGGUAAUACGGAGGGUGCAAGCGUUAAUCGGAAUUACUGGGCGUAAAGCGCACGCAGGCGGUUGGAUAA